CCUGGAUCAAGGACUGAACCCACAUCUUCUGCAUUGGCAGGUUUGUCCUGCCCUGGUUACUGAACUGGACUCUGGUCAGCUCACCCUCCAUGCAAUAAGUCUACCUACACUAGGUUGUAGCGAAGGAAAGCAGAGGGACAGCCUGCUGAUUCAAUGGCAUUUCACAGAUCCACAGGACACUCUUCCCAAAGUCACUGGAAGAACUGCAACCUCUGGCCACAGAUGUCUGUGAAUAUCUAGAACACGACAUGUGACAAUCACUGUUGGCCAAUCACUCCAGAGGGCUUUGUGCAGGUUUAUCUCCAAGAACUUGUGGAUGUUCAUGGCUCAGUUCAGCCAAGUUGAUGAUAAAAGUUAGAAAAAGAAUGUCUGAAGGGCAGACUG
This is a long non-coding RNA of Cervus elaphus (red deer), 384 nucleotides long. RefSeq lists it as uncharacterized. The transcript has 3 exons. The record is from RefSeq and is a predicted model, not a curated record. NCBI's taxonomy places the organism in Eukaryota, Metazoa, Chordata, Mammalia, Artiodactyla, Cervidae.